Anser brachyrhynchus (Pink-footed goose) is the source of this 1623-nucleotide long non-coding RNA. The record is from Ensembl. Lineage: Eukaryota; Metazoa; Chordata; Aves; Anseriformes; Anatidae.
GGCGGUGGGGCGGGGGAGGCUGCCCCUCACGGCCCCGCCUCGGCCCAGGGCCCUCCUGAGGAGGUUUCCCUCUCCUGGGGGAAGAAAAGCUAGCGGGACAACUUGUGGAAAUUAACAAGGAGGAGGAGGAGGAAAAAAAAAAAAAAGCUUUUCUGUGGGACAUCCUCAAAGCUCAGCAUCACGCCGGGUGUCUGAGUUUGUAUAAAGCCUGCCACGCUUGUGAACAUCACCACAGCGGCAGGAGGAAAGCCUGGCUGUGGCCGCUGCACCGAAGUCCUGCGUGCUUCAGAGGUGCCUUGGCUUUCUGGCUGGAAGAUGCUUCCUGCAGCAGGACCGUGUUGCUGCUGAGGACCUGAAGCAGGGCCGUGUUGCUCCUGAGGGGCUGUGGAAGAUGCCUGCUUUUGGGAUUACGCGUGGAGAAAGGCCAUCGGUCAAGGGGAGAGCUGGCUGGUGAAACUGUCUGACUUUCUCCCCCUCUGGGGAAGUGGCUUCAAUGGCUCCAGCUCUCAGGAGAAGCAGUAGGAAAGAUGCCAACGCCUUGCCAAGCAUGUCCUCAACUUUCUGGGCUAUCAUGAUCCUGGCCAGUCUACUAAUCGCUUACUGCAGUGUUACGUGCCAAGAUUGUGCAGCAUCUCAUCAGAACUAUAACCUUGAAGACUCCCCUAAUGCUGUGUUUCUCAGAUUGUGAGUUGUACACCUUGUGGACAAGCCAGUGAGGGGGAAAAAGCUUAUGGUUAAGUUACUUCUAGGGCACGUAUUUUUUUUGUAUUUGAGAAGGGUGGAAGGUGAACAGGCUGCCAUUCCCUUGAAGCCGAAGACAGAUGCUACAGCAGGUUCUAAAGCAUUGCCAGCACUGCUUGCUAGUGAUUUGUGUUGCAGAUGGUGAUACACAGUAGAACAGCCAGCCAGACACAUUUUAAUGUUCCUGUACCUGUGUUAUUUUGUUUACUCAGUACAAAUUACUACAAUCUGCAGUAUCCAAAGAGAAUAAGAAUAUUUUACAUUCCCAACCAGUUGAGACACUGUGAUUUUUGAGCUCCUGCCACACUGAAAGACAGAUCAUGGAAGUGAUCCCUACACAACAUGUGAACGCCUUUUUUUCCCUUCUUUCUUCCUUUUCUGGUCAAAAACAGACAGUUUCCUUCAGUAGCCUUACCCUUUCUGAUAAGGCAAAUCUGUGAUUUUAGUGCAGACUUAUGAAAUUAUUGUCUGCGUCUCCUGAAAUCUCUUACAUGUUGCUUAGCUGCUUUGGACUUACUGCUAAGGCCUUUUAAGCUCAAAUUUUGAGUUACAGCUCAAAUCUCUCCUACUCAUCAGUACUGCAUGUGCAGUAGAAAUGUACUUAUUCUUAGAACUUAACAUAAUGAAUACUAGGAGAGAUCCCUGACUUUCACUUAACCCUUCUUAUGUUAAGAAAACACAUCCAAUUACCCGAAGUUGACUAGUAUCUUCUGUUAAUCACUUAUGGGCUACAUCUGUACUUAGUUCAGUUCUUUAUUUAUUUACUCUGAAAUGCAAAAACAAAUGUACUUGGUUAUAUCAAAAAAUCAUUCAGCCCAGUAAUCACAGCAGUAGCCACAAAUGCUUCCAUAGGGAAGUCUAAGGACAGCACUUGUCCCUAAA